UUUAUACUGUCAAGGACUUUUUAGUGUCCUGCCAGCCAAAGGGCUGGAGGGGCACCAGUCACUGGGAGGGACACAGCCAGGACAGCUGACCCGAACUAGCCACAGAGAUCUCUGCUGUUGCUGCAGGUAUGACAUGGAAGAUUCGUCCUUGAAACCUGCUUUGUCAAUCCACAGAUGAAGAAGGCUAGAAGGGAGGAGAGGAUCAAGAAGAUCAGCACAUCCCUUCACGCGAGCUGCAGUGGACUGGUUUGACUGUCUGAGUCCCCAGCUCUGAUCCCAACAACAACAGGAAAGGAAGAAAAGAGUGAGAUCAUAGAUAUAAGCAUUAUGUGCUAUAUUUCUGAUUAAAUAAUGACAAGAAAUAAA
This is a long non-coding RNA of Falco peregrinus (peregrine falcon), 366 nucleotides long. RefSeq lists it as uncharacterized. The transcript has 2 exons. NCBI's taxonomy places the organism in Eukaryota, Metazoa, Chordata, Aves, Falconiformes, Falconidae. The record is from RefSeq and is a predicted model, not a curated record.